GUGGGUGCUCACCUUCUCUAUUUCGAGCUGACAACUGGAAAGAGGGAGGGAAGGUCCGCUCCCUCCAACUUUCCUAGCAAAGUCCUUGUCGCAGCUUAUGCACACCAGGUUAUGAGUUCACCAUAGCAGGUGCAACCGAGGGAUUCAUUCUGCACAGUUUGCUCCAUUCCCCAGCACUGUGUCUGAUCACUGCAGGACCACAGGAGAAGCAGCCUGACCUUGCCCCGAAGCCCAAGUUCAGCCACGUCCAACUGUUUCAUUGGACCUUGGGUUUAGGAAGGUGCGGAUUUCUGAUGGAGAUUGGUGAUAGACCCCUGUUGGAAAGAGAGUGCAUCUGGCUGGAGACCAUCUCCAGCGAGAAGAGCAAUUGAAGACGUCAGACCAGAUGAACUGAUUCAGAGGAAUUUUUCACCAAGAUGGGUGCUAGAGAGGUCUACGACGGCACUGGAAACCUAUCAUGAUGAAAGAUGAUUAGCGAUUCUUGAAAAAGAUUUCGCUGUAAUGAGCCCUUUGUUUUAAGAAUAUUUGUAGGAUGGAAUUUCACCUGAUGACCUGACACUCAGGUAGACGCUGAAGUGACCCCGGUCCUUUUUCACCCCACCUUCUUAGUCUGCUCCCUGCAGAGGCUCCAGAGAUCUAGGACACUUUAUAGCUUCGAGUAAAUAAUCAUGGUCUGAAUUUGAGACACGACACUCCAAAGCCCAAAUGAAUGGCAGUUGUCACUAAAGCAUUACGUGCAGCUACCAUCUUUCACCCAGGUUACUCCCUCGUUAUGUCUGUGAUAAAGAUGGAUGAUAAGUGUUUGGCAAUUAAACUGAAAACAAAUGUGGGGAAU
Molecule: long non-coding RNA, 835 nt
Organism: Ornithorhynchus anatinus (platypus)
Lineage: Eukaryota; Metazoa; Chordata; Mammalia; Monotremata; Ornithorhynchidae
Exons: 3
Source: RefSeq, a predicted model, not a curated record